Molecule: long non-coding RNA, 492 nt
Organism: Malurus melanocephalus (red-backed fairy wren)
Lineage: Eukaryota; Metazoa; Chordata; Aves; Passeriformes; Maluridae
Exons: 4
Source: RefSeq, a predicted model, not a curated record
UCUGUGUUUGCAGCUGUCUGAUAUUUCUCCCCUUGGCCGGGACCCGUCCGUGUCCAGUUUCAGCAGUGCCACCCUCACCCCUUCCUCCACCUGCCCCUCUCUGGUGGAUUCCAGGUGCAAUUCCGUUGAUCAGAAGACACCAGAAGCAAAUUCUCGUGCCUCCAGUCCCUGUCAUGAGGUGGAACAGUUCCAGAUAAUUCCUGCAGUAGAAACUUCCUAUCUUGCCAGAGCUGGAAAGAAUGAGUUCCUAAAUCUCGUUCCUGAUAUUGAGGAAAUCAGACCAGGCUCUGUUGUGUCCAAGAAAGGAUACCUCCACUUCAAGGAGCCGCUCUCCAGCUCCUGGGCCAAGCACUUUGUGGUGGUUCGCCGUCCCUACGUUUUCAUUUACAACAGUGACAAAGAUCCUGUGGAAAGAGGACUCAUAAACUUAUCCACAGCUCAGGUGGAGUACAGUGAGGAUCAGCAGGCGAUGGUCAAGACACCCAACACCUU